This is a small nucleolar RNA of Dioscorea cayenensis subsp. rotundata (Guinea yam), 107 nucleotides long. Lineage: Eukaryota; Viridiplantae; Streptophyta; Magnoliopsida; Dioscoreales; Dioscoreaceae. The record is from RefSeq and is a predicted model, not a curated record.
AAACCAUGAUGAGGGUAUCUCCUGACAAGAUCUUUGAACCUCUCCUAUGCUUCAAAUAGUAUUUCAGUCUCUCCAUGCUUGAAUGCUGAUAAUUCCUGCCUAAUCUU